GAAGCUGGAAUCGCUAGUAAUCGUAGAUCAGCAUGCUACGGUGAAUACGUUCCCGGGCCUUGUACACACCGCCCGUCACACCACGAGAGUUUGUAACACCCGAAGCCGGUGGAGUAACCUUUUAGGAGCUAGCCGUCGAAGGUGGGACAAAUGAUUGGGGUGAAGUCGUAACAAGGUAGCCGUAUCGGAAGGUGCGGCUGGAUCACCUCCUUUCUAAGGA
Molecule: ribosomal RNA, 220 nt
Filed under: Xanthomonas citri pv. citri
Lineage: Bacteria; Pseudomonadati; Pseudomonadota; Gammaproteobacteria; Lysobacterales; Lysobacteraceae
Description: partial 16S ribosomal RNA
Rfam family: Bacterial small subunit ribosomal RNA
Source: RNAcentral